This 497-nucleotide ribosomal RNA is filed under the name uncultured bacterium. RNAcentral's name for it is "partial 16S ribosomal RNA". It matches the Rfam family "Bacterial small subunit ribosomal RNA", at positions 28 to 507 of the family's 1533-position model. The record is from RNAcentral.
GACGAACGCUGGCGGCGUGCCUAAUACAUGCAAGUUGAGCGAUGAAGAUUGGUGCUUGCACCAAUUUGAAGAGCAGCGAACGGGUGAGUAACGCGUGGGGAAUCUGCCUUUGAGCGGGGGACAACAUUUGGAAACGAAUGCUAAUACUGCAUAACAACUUUAAACAUAAGUUUUAAGUUUGAAAGAUGCAAUUGCAUCACUCAAAGAUGAUCCCGCGUUGUAUUAGCUAGUUGGUGAGGUAAAGGCUCACCAAGGCGAUGAUACAUAGCCGACCUGAGAGGGUGAUCGGCCACAUUGGGACUGAGACACGGCCCAAACUCCUACGGGAGGCAGCAGUAGGGAAUCUUCGGCAAUGGACGAAAGUCUGACCGAGCAACGCCGCGUGAGUGAAGAAGGUUUUCGGAUCGUAAAACUCUGUUGGUAGAGAAGAACGUUGGUGAGAGUGGAAAGCUCAUCAAGUGACGGUAACUACCCAGAAAGGGACGGCUAACUACGUG